UACGAAGGGGGCUAGCGUUGUUCGGAAUCACUGGGCUUAAAGCGUGUGUAGGCGGAUCGUUAAGUGCCUUGUGAAAUCCCACGGCUCAACCGUGGAACUGCUUGGCAUACUGGCGAUCUUGAGCCACUUAGGGGCUACCGGAACAAAUGGUGGAGCGGUGAAAUGCGUAGAUAUCAUUUGGAACGCCAAUGGUGAAAACAGGUAGCUGGGAGUGUGCUGACGCUGAGACACGAAAGCCAGGGGAGCAAACGGG
This 253-nucleotide ribosomal RNA is filed under the name uncultured bacterium. RNAcentral's name for it is "partial 16S ribosomal RNA". It matches the Rfam family "Bacterial small subunit ribosomal RNA", at positions 524 to 776 of the family's 1533-position model. The record is from RNAcentral.